GAUGAACGCUGGCGGCGUGCCUAAUACAUGCAAGUCGAGCGAACGGACGAGAAGCUUGCUUUUCUGAUGUUAGCGGCGGACGGGUGAGUAACACGUGGAUAACCUACCUAUAAGACUGGGAUAACUUCGGGAAACCGGAGCUAAUACCGGAUAAUAUUUUGAACCGCAUGGUUCAAAAGUGAAAGACGGUCUUGCUGUCACUUAUAGAUGGAUCCGCGCUGCAUUAGCUGGUUGGUAAGGUAACGGCUUACCAAGGCAACGAUGCAUAGCCGACCCGAGAGGGUGAUCGGCCACACUGGAACUGAGACACGGUCCAGACUCCUACGGGAGGCAGCAGUAGGGAAUCUUCCGCAAUGGGCGAAAGCCUGACGGAGCAACGCCGCGUGAGUGAUGAAGGUCUUCGGAUCGUAAAACUCUGUUAUUAGGGAAGAACAUAUGUGUAAGUAACUGUGCACAUCUUGACGGUACCUAAUCAGAAAGCCACGGCUAACUACGUG
RNAcentral lists this ribosomal RNA (497 nucleotides) under uncultured bacterium. Its description in RNAcentral is "partial 16S ribosomal RNA". It matches the Rfam family "Bacterial small subunit ribosomal RNA", at positions 28 to 507 of the family's 1533-position model. The record is from RNAcentral.